CAAGGCAUGAUUUGAGGUUUAUAUAUCUUAAUUUGAAAGGAGGAACCCAAUUCGAAGUCACAUUGAACAUCAAGGUGAUGUUCCUAGAGUUUUGAACAAUUGAUAACUCCUUUAAGCUUGUGAGAUUGGAAAAGUGAGCUUCUGUUAAAACGCCCUCCCAUUGAUUACCUUUGAUUUCUAAUGAGACUAAUGAUGAGAGUUGUCCUAUGGUUGUUGGGAUUGUUCCUUUCAUUCCAUUGUCGGAGAGAUCGAAAAACUCUAGUGAAGACAAAUUCCCUAUGGAUUCUGGAAUGGAACCGACAAAGUAGUUGUGCACGAGAAGAAGAUUUUUUAAAUUCCACAAGUGUCCCAAAGAAUCAGGAAGAAAGCCACCCAAUUCAUUGUAACCCAACUGCAAUGACUCUAAGCUACGAUUGUUGCAUUGAGACAAGCCACUGGUAAAUUCUCCAAUAUCACCGCUAAUCAUAUUGUAAGAGAGAUCAAGCACACGCAAAUUGCAAAGGUUUCCCAAAUUUCUUCUUGACAACUUGCCUUCAAUGAAUGAAUUUUCAGACAGGUCAAGGUUUUGAAGAAAGUUCAUGUCUGCAAAUCCAUCUGGAAUUUCGCCUAUAAGACUGUUAGAGCCGAGAUCAAGAUACUGAAGACCACUGAUGUUAAAAAGCCAAGUAGGUAUUGAGGAGUUGAAACCAUUGUUUGAGAGAUCAAGGACGGCAAGGGAUGAAAGGUUAACGAGGGGAAGUGAGAGAGGAAGAAUGGAAAGUCCACAAGCUGGUAAGUGCAGCUCCUCUAAUGAAGGAAACAUGUUGACAGCUUCAAGCCAGUAUGUGCUGGUCAUACUAAGAUCAACACUUCCCAAAUUUAGGUGUUUCAAAUUAGAAAGGGUUGAUAACCAAUGUAAGUCAUUCUUGUUUGAGUCAGUAAAACAAGAAUUGAGAUCAAGAUAGCGCAAGCUUGUAAGGUUUCCCAAAAAUGAAGGAAGAGAUCCACCAAAGGAUGCACCCGAGAGAUUGAGGUAUCUCAAAGUCUUGAGUGAUCCAAAAAAGUUUGGAAUUGAGACUCCUCCAAAGUAGUUCAUACUAAGGUCUAAGUACUUCAAGUAUUUCAAAUCAAUCAAAGAAGGAUGUAUCUCACCGCCUAACGCAUAAGCUGUUGCAUCUGAUACAUCAGGAUUACUGGAAUACAGGUUGGGAAGUUUGAGCUUGGUGACAUGUCCAAGCUUGUCACUGCACCGUACACCAGCCCAGCUACAGCAAUCUUCACCUUUCCAAGAAGAGAGCCGCCCUGAGGGAUCGGUGAGACCUUCUUUGAAGUUGAGAAGAGCUUUUCUUUCCAUUGGAAUGCAGCUAACAUUUUGACUCACACAUGAACCAAUUUAACAGUUUCGAGGUAAAGGAACUCAGAAGAGAGGAUCAAAAUAAGAGAAAAACACCAGAUAGAAGAUCUGGUAUUCGCCAUGUCUUUUGCAGGUAAAGAAAAUGAAUAGAUGCGCUGUUGAGCUCAUGCUGUUUAUAUAGGGGAAAAAAUAAACGAAUAUUUGAGUUGGCUCAAGUCAAUGUCUUUGUGCUGAACCAUUUGAGAAGCCCAUAGCUUUCUCAGUCCAGCUGUCUCAUACAAGUAGGUAAGAUUUGUUCUGUCCAAUCAUUCUUAACGUAACAGGAACUUCCAUUUAUUCUCUUUCCUUUUUAGGGCAAAUAACCAUAUAAAAUAUUGUCAAACUUUCCAUCCCACUUGUUCUUUUCUUUUUUGCUUUUUGGGUGUUUUGCCUUCUAAGUCUGGAAAGAAAUCCAACUUGUUUUCAAACCAGAGAAAAUGAAUAUUGCAGUCCAGUCAAAUUUGACGGCAGUGGGUUCAAUGCUGAAGUCGCCAUUACUGAAGCCGAAUGAAGGCUUCCUUUAAUUUUAUAUUACAUGCGUAUCUCAACCAAAGAUUUAAAUAGAGGUUGAAUAGUGGUAUAACGGUCAUUAUUUCACAAUUAUGUUAUUAUUUAUCACUGUUAUUAAAAGAAAAAGAAAAAAAUUUAAAUAUCAUUUAUAGCAAGCAAAUCACGAUUGCAAAUUGUGGCAUACCGUUUAAUAGCGAUAAUAGCUGCUAUUAUUUGCUACUUAUUUUUCAUUCAAAAAUUUAAAAAAUAUAUUUUAUUUGACUCUAAUUAAAAAUUUAAAAUAAAAAAGCAAGAAAAAUGAUAAACAUCAAUUUACAAAUUCAAGAAAAAUUUUUUUUAUAAAACUUAGACUUUCAAAAAUAUCAAUUCUCUCAAAUUCAACUUCAAUUAAGAUUAAGCAUAUACAAUUUAAGGUAAGCAAUUAAUUCGACACUCAAAUUAUUUUUUUUUUAAUUUUAAAAUUUAUCGUAAUUUUAUGUGUUUGGGAUUGGAUUGAGAGCAAGAGUUGUUGAAACUUAAAAUAAAAAACAAGAGAUGAGAGCAAGAUUUGAGGUUAAAGAAGACAAGCAGAUAGCAUACACCAAAAAAAAAAAAAAGAGCUGAGAGAUAGGGAUGAGGAUAAAGGUUUAGAGAAAAAUUUAUUGAAUGUAAGAUGAGGGGAUGAGAAGUUAUGGGAUCUGUAUAAUUUAGUCAAGAGAUAAAGGAAAUAGACUUUAGGCUAUUGUUGUUGAGGAUUAACCUCAACAUGAAGGCUAACAAGUUUGAUUACUGUAGACCCAUAAAAAGCAAUUCUUUUUUUUCAUAAAUAGCAAUGUUCUUGUUUAAUUUAUGGAUAUUUAAUCACUUAUUAGUUAAUUUAUGUAUAAUAUAAUUCAGUAAUAAUUUGAUGAGUACGAUAAUUAAAUAAUUAAAUAUAUUAUUCGUUAUGAUUAUUUAUUUUUCACAUAUUUAUUUAUCUUUUGUUAUUUACUAAUUAUCGUAUGAGUAAUAUUUUAAACAUGAAUAUUUUAUUAUAAAUAAUUUUUUAAAAUAAAUAAAACAUAUGAUAUGAUAUAAAUUAUUUUAAAAAUCAUAAAUUAAGAGUUUUUAUGAUUAAUAAUUAAAAUUAUUAAUAAUUUAAAAAAAUUUACAAUCGUAAUCGCUGUAAUGAUCAUGAAAACUUUUAUUAUAUUCGUAACUAUGAUAAAUAUGAUGCAAUAAAAAAUAUGACUGCUAUCGCAAUUUAAAUAUAUGAUCUCAUCUUGUUCAUCGUCCUUCCACAGGAAACAGAACCUGUGGACCUGUGGUUUCCAAAAUUUCCUAUGGAAAAGUUUCCAACUUCCAUCUUCCAAGUAAGGAAAGUGUGAAUUCUUGGCAUUUAGGGUGGGGGGAACAGGGUUGUACCCUUCAGUAUUUAAUUUCUUGCAAAUCCAACAAAGGCAGCUGAUUGAAAGGCUGAAAUCGACACUCACCCCAACACCAGUUGUUCCAAUAAGAUUGAUCGUCUUUCUUAAACUUUCUUAAAUACUACAUUACUAGAAAUACAAAGAUGAUCAAACAAAUUCAUUUCUGUAAGAAAUUUGUAGACUAUUAAUACAAAGUUAAUACCCCAAAAUAGUAAUAUUUAACCUGUUCCUGUUUUUGGAAAUUAAUUAACCCAUUUAUAAUUUUUUUAUUUUUUUAUUACAACUAGAUUCAACUUGAAACUUUCAAUUUUGAAACUAAUUUUAUUAUUAUUGCACUAACUGUUCAUUGAUAAUUCAUUUGUAAAUUUAAUAAAAGGUAAUUUAAUUAUUAAUUUAAAGAUAUAAUUAAUAGACAAUGCCUUUUUUAAUUUUAAUUACUAGAAAAUAAAUAAAGCAUAUAAACUAUACAAAGCUUCCCUUGAAAAAAAUUAUUAAAAAAUAAUUAAAAAUAUCUUAAGUGUUACACAUUUCUAAGCAGGGAUGGAUCUAGGAUUUCUAAUAAGUGGGGGCAACUAUUUUAACUUAAUUUUUUAAAAUUUUUAUUGAAAAACAUAUUAAUAUGAAGAAUUCCUAACAAAUUAACAUGUAUAACAAUUUUUUCUAUAAAACACAAUUUUGUAUGUCAUAAAUAUAAUAUUUGCAUAACUAAGAUUAACUGUUAUUGACGAAUAUAGCUUAAACAUUAUAAUAUUAUAAUAAAUCAUUUUUUGACGUAUGCAUGUGUAGACACAUACAUAUAUAAAUAUGUAUAUAUAUUUUAUUAAUACAAUUUUACUUAAACAAUUUUUAAAUAUAAAUAUAAUAUGUGAAAAAAAUAAAUAUCAAUAUUUUCAAUUUUAUCAUCUAUUUUCAUUUCUUACACAUUAUAAUUUGAAGAAUAACAAAUGUUUAUUUUCUUAUAUACAAUGAAAACAAUAUUUUUUUACGUUCAAUGGAAAACAAAAAUGAAGAUAUAAAUCCAUGUUAGUUAAAAAUUAUUUUUUAAUUUUUAUUCUUAUUAAUUCACUCUGAAUGAAUUUUAAAAGUUAUUUAUUUAUUCUUCUUCAAAAUUAAUGUACAUAUAUGUUAUAAUGAAAUUGUUUAUCACUCAAAAUAUAAAUAUUCAAUUACUAGAUAAACAAUAAAAAAAUUUUUACUUGAUCCUCAAUUUAAUGAGGGUAAAUAUGAUAAAAAAAAUUUUGAUAGGGCAAAACUUAAAAUUUCUAAACUUUAUGAGACUUUUCUAUGACAAAUUCAAAGAACUUUAGUGUGUCAGUGGGGCGGCUGCCCCGACAACCCCAUGUGUAAUCCGGUCCUUUUGCUAAGUCAAGUCUAGGUUUUGUUUCAAAAAGUCAAAAACAUUUUAAAAAAAUUAUAAAACUAUUUCUAAAAUUAUUUCAAUCAUUCAAACAAGAAAUGCUGUCUGCCAAAAACAAAAAAACAAAACCUUGGGCUCAUAGGGGGGUUUGAGCUUCAUAUUCUAAGGCUUGAUUGGGCCCAAGAGAAAAAGGACAGUUGGGCUAUGAACCCGGUUCUAGGAUGGAUAGCCCGACCCGGUGAAACCAUUGAGAUAUUUGUCGGUGCAGGGUAAAUGACGUGGUGUUCUCCAUUCUUGCCAAGGACCACCGGAAAAGAUCUCAACACCGGCCACGGCGGACAGCACAGAUGUCACCGUACACCCUCCCAAAUCCCCACCUUAUCCAAUCAUCACCUGCCGCGUGUCCCCCGCACAGUUCCUACCGCCCCUUCUCCUUCUCACUCCAUCCUCCCUCCAACAACGACCGCUGCCGCCCUCCAUGUGCUAACUUGCGCCUUACAGUGCCCUCACUUCCUAUCAUACGCAUCCUUGUGACACCCCCAAUCUAUUAUGAUAUAUAAAAGUUCUCACUUCCUAAAAAUCUACUAUGAUAUUUAUUCAUAUUUAUUCAUUAUAUUUAUUUUUAUUCAUAUUUAUUUUCUAUAUUAAUUAUAUUUAUUUUAUCUUUAAAUUGAUAUAAAUUGAUUUGCUUUUAUAAAAAUUUUAAAAUAUUUCAAUGCAUUAAUUAUAUUUAUUUUCUUUUUAAUUUUCAAUAAACCCACUUUUUAUUUCCAAAUAAAAUAUCUUAAAUUAUAAAUUAAAACUAAAUCAAUAAUACAUUAUAAUUAAAGAAUUUAUUAAUGAUUCAAAAAAUAAUAAAUAUUAUAAUUAUGGUUAUUAAAUUUUUUUAAUGAUUCAAAAAAUUUUUAUUGAAAUUUAAUCAAAAUUAUAAAAAAUUUAAUAAUCACUAUAAUAAUGGUUAAUAGUUGAUUUCUUAAUAAAUUAUUUAAUAUAUUCAUAUUUGAUUAAAUAUGAUAUCCAACUAAAUAAUGUAUGUUAUUCAUAUAUAAAUAUAUAUAAAUUAUAUAAUAAUUUUAUAUAUUUAUAUAAGAUUAAUGAUUCAUUAUAAUGUUGGAUUUUAUGCAUACGGGUUGUAAUCAAUAAGCAAUGCAUCCCAUUUCAUACAAAUAUAUAAAAAUAAAAAAAUUUUGUAAAAAAAAUAAAAAAUUCAAUGUGGAUAAUCUAUUUUUUUUUUACAUAUAAAUUGUUUUGAACAAUUUUUACAUAUUCUGCAUUUAAUUAUUUUGAUUUGACUUCAUAUAUAUAUUUUAUUAAUUUAAAAGAUAUUUAUUUGGCUAAAUUAGGUUAUUUAUUUUCUCAUAAAUAUCCAAUGUUUUUGCCUUUUAUAAAUGUAUUAUAAUUAAAUUAUUUUAUAUUAUUUUCAACCAAAUUCAAUUCUUAAUUUUAAAUAUCAAACGUGUAUACUAUCAAUAAGAAAUAUGUUUUGAAAGCAUUUACUUUUUAAUAACCAUGAUUUUAAUAUUUAAUUAAAAAUAAUUUAUAUAUUUAUUAACCUAAAUUAAUAUAUAAGCCAUAUAAUGCUAAAAAUUCAAACCUAAAAUAAAAUCAAAUUAGUUUGAAACAUAUUUUCAUAUUUCUUUCUAUAUAAGUAUUAAUUACAAUUGAUAUAAUUUAUUAUUUUACAAAAAUUUUUCAAAAUAUUAAGUGCAGACUUUUCAAAGUAAAAAGAUAUAUUACAUAAAUAAUUAAUAUUCUAUUAUAAUUUUUUUUUCAUAAAUUACUCUUAAUUUAUAAAAAUCUCUCAAAUUCUUAUUAUAAAUAGAGAAGCCUAUAUCUAAGAGUAUUAGGAGGUUACUCAAUUUAUUAAUUUUUAGUAAAUAACAUAUGGUUUCAAUCCCACAAAAAAACGCAAAUUCAAUUUAAAUUACUUUGAACUUUCGAGAAUACAAUGUAAGAAUGGACACCACUUAACCAAAGGUUUGUUGUUGUUAUUAUGAGUAAGUGGUAUAAAAUUCAAAGAUUUGGAAUCAAUCAGUAUUUAAUUUUGUAUAAAUAUCACUAUUAGAUGAGAUAUAAUACAAAUAAUUUUUUUAUAUUACAUAGGGAUAUGUUGAUUUACAAUAAUUUUAUUUUUUAUUAUUUUACAUUGCAAAUUUUUAUUUUUAUAUAAAAUUUAUUGAUUUAUUUUAUUUUGUAUAAAUAUCACUAUUAGAUGAGAUAUAAUAUAAAUAAUUUUUUCAUAUUACAUAGGUAGAUAUUGAUUUACAAUAUUUUUAUUUUUUAUUAUUUUACAUUGAAAUUUUUUAUUUUUUUAUAAUAUAUAUAUGUAUGUAUGUAUGUAUGUAUGUAUGUAUGUAUGUAUGAAUAUAUCGCACGGAUUUCGUUUACAUUAAAGUAUCUUGCAACUUAGCCUGACUGCCUGUGUUUCCCUCUACUUCAUUGGUCUUCUUAGGCGAGCUAAGUUUAACAAGACAAACACCAUUAGCCUUUCUUUCAUAUCAUCAAGGAACUCGAAGUAGACACGCCUCCAAGAUUUCUUCACCAUUAAAGGGAAGCACACUCCCCAAAAUCCCACAACAAAUCCUGGUCCCAUGCUGAUAUAGAACCACAUCAUUUCGUGGUCAUCUCCGUUUUCAUUGUCCUUGUUCCUAACAUCAGGAGAAGUUGAUGAUUCAUCGUCACCAUCGCACCUGGUUGGUAGUGGUGGCCCACAAAGUCCACUGUUACCUUCAUAAAUGGAUGGAUCGUUGAGGGUUUGGAACUGGUUGGCUGACGGAAUUUUACUAGACAGGUUGUUGUACGAAAGGUUCAAGUGAUUUAAGGA
Molecule: long non-coding RNA, 7448 nt
Filed under: Durio zibethinus
Lineage: Eukaryota; Viridiplantae; Streptophyta; Magnoliopsida; Malvales; Malvaceae
Description: long non-coding RNA (DZIB_LNC002274)
Source: RNAcentral